Molecule: transfer RNA, 73 nt
Filed under: Cordylochernes scorpioides
Lineage: Eukaryota; Metazoa; Arthropoda; Arachnida; Pseudoscorpiones; Chernetidae
Description: tRNA-Thr
Rfam family: tRNA
About the family: Transfer RNA (tRNA) molecules are approximately 80 nucleotides in length. Their secondary structure includes four short double-helical elements and three loops (D, anti-codon, and T loops).
Source: RNAcentral
GCUAGGGUAGCCUAGUGGACACGACAUCUGCCCGGUAAGCGGAACACUGUGGAUUCGAUUCCCAUCCCUGGUU